GCCGAUGUAGCUCAGUUGGUAGAGCAAUGCUUUCGUAAAGCAGAGGUCCGCGGUUCGAUCCCGCGCAUCGGCUCCA
Molecule: transfer RNA, 76 nt
Filed under: bacterium
Lineage: Bacteria
Description: tRNA-Thr
Rfam family: tRNA
About the family: Transfer RNA (tRNA) molecules are approximately 80 nucleotides in length. Their secondary structure includes four short double-helical elements and three loops (D, anti-codon, and T loops). Further hydrogen bonds mediate the characteristic L-shaped molecular structure. tRNAs have two regions of fundamental functional importance: the anti-codon, which is responsible for specific mRNA codon recognition, and the 3' end, to which the tRNAs corresponding amino acid is attached (by aminoacyl-tRNA synthetases). tRNAs cope with the degeneracy of the genetic code in two manners: having more than one tRNA (with a specific anti-codon) for a particular amino acid; and 'wobble' base-pairing, i.e. permitting non-standard base-pairing at the 3rd anti-codon position.
Source: RNAcentral